RNAcentral lists this ribosomal RNA (480 nucleotides) under uncultured bacterium. Its description in RNAcentral is "bacterial SSU rRNA". It matches the Rfam family "Bacterial small subunit ribosomal RNA", at positions 30 to 506 of the family's 1533-position model. The record is from RNAcentral.
UUGAACGCUGGCGGUAUGCUUAACACAUGCAAGUCGAACGGUAGCAGGCCUUCGGGCGCUGACGAGUGGCGGACGGGUGAGUAAUGCAUAGGAAUCUGCCUUGGAAUGGGGGAUAACUAAGGGAAACUUUAGCUAAUACCGCAUGAUGUCUACGGACCAAAGCGGGGGACCUUCGGGCCUCGCGUUCUGAGAGGAGCCUAUGUCAGAUUAGCUAGUUGGUGGGGUAAAGGCCCACCAAGGCAUUGAUCUGUAACUGGUCUGAGAGGAUGACCAGUCACACUGGGACUGAGACACGGCCCAGACUCCUACGGGAGGCAGCAGUGGGGAAUAUUGGACAAUGGGCGCAAGCCUGAUCCAGCAAUACCGCGUGAGUGAAGAAGGCCUUAGGGUUGUAAAGCUCUUUUGUAGGGGAGGAAAGGCUGUGUGUUAAUAGCGCGCAGCUGUGACGUUACCCUAAGAAUAAGCACCGGCUAACUCUGU